Molecule: ribosomal RNA, 595 nt
Filed under: uncultured Bacillus sp.
Lineage: Bacteria; Bacillati; Bacillota; Bacilli; Caryophanales; Bacillaceae
Description: bacterial SSU rRNA
Rfam family: Bacterial small subunit ribosomal RNA
Source: RNAcentral
GGCGUGCCUAAUACAUGCAAGUCGAGCGAAUCUUGAGGUGCUUGCACCUCUUGAUUAGCGGCGGACGGGUGAGUAACACGUGGGCAACCUGCCUGUAAGACUGGGAUAACACCGGGAAACCGGUGCUAAUACCGGAUAAUCCUUUUCCUCUCAUGAGGGAAAGCUGAAAGUCGGUUUCGGCUGACACUUACAGAUGGGCCCGCGGCGCAUUAGCUAGUUGGUGAGGUAACGGCUCACCAAGGCGACGAUGCGUAGCCGACCUGAGAGGGUGAUCGGCCACACUGGGACUGAGACACGGCCCAGACUCCUACGGGAGGCAGCAGUAGGGGAUCUUCCGCAAUGGACGAAAGUCUGACGGAGCAACGCCGCGUGAGCGAUGAAGGCCUUCGGGUCGUAAAGCUCUGUUGUUAGGGAAGAACAAGUACUGGAGUAACUGCCGGUACCUUGACGGUACCUAACCAGAAAGCCACGGCUAACUACGUGCCAGCAGCCGCGGUAAUACGUAGGUGGCAAGCGUUGUCCGGAAUUAUUGGGCGUAAAGCGCGCGCAGGCGGUUCUUUAAGUCUGAUGUGAAAGCCCACGGCUCAACCGUGGA